This is a non-coding RNA of Mollisia scopiformis, 91 nucleotides long. Lineage: Eukaryota; Fungi; Ascomycota; Leotiomycetes; Helotiales; Mollisiaceae. The record is from the annotation of a RefSeq genome assembly.
UCCAUGCUGGUGUAUCGGUAACAUUUCCGCCUCUCAGUGUAUUCUGUACACAAGAACGCGGUAGCGCAGGGUUCGACUCCCUGGCAUGGAA